Long non-coding RNA from Eptesicus fuscus (big brown bat), 459 nucleotides. RefSeq lists it as uncharacterized. The record is from RefSeq and is a predicted model, not a curated record. NCBI's taxonomy places the organism in Eukaryota, Metazoa, Chordata, Mammalia, Chiroptera, Vespertilionidae. The transcript is spliced from 3 exons.
ACUUAUUAGGAACAAAAUGUUAUAAUAAUAACAAUAAAUAAGGUCCAAUAGUCACUUUCAAAAAAUUUGUGAUCAGCCAGAAGGAAACAAUUAGAUAAACCCCGAACGGAACAAAACAGCCUCUUCAAAAAGUCACUGUCAUGGGAAGAAAAAAGAAAAGGUCGAUGUCGUCCUUCUCUGCCUGCCUCACUGACCAUUUCCUCGUGCUCUCUACACUCCCCAAACUCCUGAGAUACACCAACUCCUGCUGCUCACCCCUGGGCUCUGAACCUGCUGCUUCUCUGCCUGCCGGCCUCUGCCCCAGACCUUCACCCAGUGACUCAUUCAGCUCCAUACAAGAUGAAUUGGAAUUGGCUGAAAACAGCACCAGGCCUCCUUUGGUUAUGUUCAUCUUGGUUUCUAAUUCAGCUGGCGCCACACAAAACAUCAAAACCUUCUUGGUUUUCCAAUUCUCAGAGC